UGCCAGCCGCCGCGGUAAUACGGAGGGGGUUAGCGUUGUUCGGAAUUACUGGGCGUAAAGCGCGCGUAGGCGGAUUGGAAAGUUGGGGGUGAAAUCCCGGGGCUCAACCCCGGAACUGCCUCCAAAACUGCCAGUCUAGAGUUCGAGAGAGGUGAGUGGAAUUCCAAGUGUAGAGGUGAAAUUCGUAGAUAUUUGGAGGAACACCAAUUGCGAAGGCAGAUCACUAACACUAUAUUGACGCUGAGGGACGAAAGCGUGGGGAGCGAACAGGAUUAGAUA
This 279-nucleotide ribosomal RNA is filed under the name uncultured bacterium. RNAcentral's name for it is "partial 16S ribosomal RNA". It matches the Rfam family "Bacterial small subunit ribosomal RNA", at positions 506 to 784 of the family's 1533-position model. The record is from RNAcentral.